RNAcentral lists this ribosomal RNA (371 nucleotides) under uncultured bacterium. RNAcentral's name for it is "bacterial SSU rRNA". It matches the Rfam family "Bacterial small subunit ribosomal RNA", at positions 527 to 896 of the family's 1533-position model. The record is from RNAcentral.
AGAGGUCUCGAGCGUUGUUCGGAUUCAUUGGGCGUAAAGGGUGCGUAGGUGGCGCUGUAAGUCGGGUGUGAAAUCCUGAGGCUUAACCUCGGAACUGCAUUCGAUACUGCGGUGCUUGAGGACUGGAGAGGAGACUGGAAUUCAUGGUGUAGCAGUGAAAUGCGUAGAGAUCAUGAGGAAGACCAGUGGCGAAGGCGGGUCUCUGGACAGUUCCUGACACUGAGGCACGAAGGCCAGGGGAGCAAACGGGAUUAGAUACCCCGGUAGUCCUGGCAGUAAACGGUGCACGUUUGGUGUGGGAGGAUUCGACCCCUUCCGCGCCGGAGCUAACGCGUUAAACGUGCCGCCUGGGGAGUACGGUCGCAAGAUUA